UGAGGAAUAUUGGUCAAUGGGCGGUAGCCUGAACCAGCCAAGUAGCGUGCAGGAUGACGGCCCUAUGGGUUGUAAACUGCUUUUAUGCGGGGAUAAAGUCACCCACGUGUGGGUGUUUGCAGGUACCGCAUGAAUAAGGACCGGCUAAUUCCGUGCCAGCAGCCGCGGUAAUACGGAAGGUCCGGGCGUUACCCGGAUUUAUUGGGUUUAAAGGGAGUGUAGGCGGCCUGUUAAGCGUGUUGUGAAAUGUAGGUGCUCAACAUCUGAACUGCAGCGCGAACUGGCUGGCUUGAGUACACGCAACGUGGGCGGAAUUCAUGGUGUAGCGGUGAAAUGCUUAGAUAUCAUGAGGAACUCCUAUUGCGAAGGCAGCUCACGGGAGUGUCACUGACGCUUAAGCUCGAAGGUGCGGGUAUCAAACAGG
This 424-nucleotide ribosomal RNA is filed under the name Verrucomicrobiota bacterium. RNAcentral's name for it is "Verrucomicrobia bacterium partial 16S ribosomal RNA". It matches the Rfam family "Bacterial small subunit ribosomal RNA", at positions 355 to 776 of the family's 1533-position model. Lineage: Bacteria; Pseudomonadati; Verrucomicrobiota. The record is from RNAcentral.